RNAcentral lists this non-coding RNA (105 nucleotides) under Pessonella sp. PRA-29. Lineage: Eukaryota; Discosea; Flabellinia; Vannellidae. The record is from RNAcentral.
GCACUGCACAAAAAUCGCCCGACAUCGCGUCGUGCCGUUGUUCUCACCACACCGGCCGUUCGCUUCAUCGGCACCAGCGAACUACCUGGCGACGUAUUGUCUAGC